AAACUGCUUUUGUACGGAACGAAAGGCUCUGCCCUAAUACGGCGGAGAUAUGACGGUACCGUAAGAAUAAGCACCGGCUAACUACGUGCCAGCAGCCGCGGUAAUACGUANGGUGCAAGCGUUAAUCGGAAUUACUGGGCGUAAAGCGUGCGCAGGCGGUUAUAUAAGUCAGAUGUGAAAUCCCCGGGCUCAACCUGGGAACUGCAUUUGAGACUGUAUAGCUGGAGUACGGCAGAGGGGGAUGGAAUUCCGCGUGUAGCAGUGAAAUGCGUAGAUAUGCGGAGGAACACCGAUGGCGAAGGCAAU
RNAcentral lists this ribosomal RNA (306 nucleotides) under uncultured bacterium. RNAcentral describes it as "bacterial SSU rRNA". It matches the Rfam family "Bacterial small subunit ribosomal RNA", at positions 427 to 725 of the family's 1533-position model. The record is from RNAcentral.